Long non-coding RNA from Equus caballus (horse), 1806 nucleotides. NCBI's taxonomy places the organism in Eukaryota, Metazoa, Chordata, Mammalia, Perissodactyla, Equidae. The record is from Ensembl.
GGCUUAUUGAGCGGAUUCUGACCGCGUGCUAGGCGCCGCGGUGGCUAUAGAGACUUGGAAGAGCCGGGCUCUUCCCUCAAGGGGCAACCCUCCCAACUGCCGCUUUCAAUAAGCCUCGUACUUGUGUUUUUUCAUUUGUCCAGGUUCAUUUUGACAAAGGUUAUGUUUAUGAAGAUUCGCAACCAUUUUCGUCUGCUUGUUAACCCCACACGAUAGAUGAGAACUGAGAGUCGGGCUGCCUCUUGGGAGGAGAAACAGGUGACAGCAAUACUUAACAUGGAGUACAUGGGUUUCAGAAGUUCGUGGACCUCCUAAAAUUAUGGACAAUAUUUGUAGGUGUAAUACAUGAGUCUGGAAAUGAAGAAGUGGAAGUAGGAAUGACCCUGCUUUGUGCAUCCCAUCCCCUCAACUCUGGGCUCUAUGAGUUUAGAAAUCCUGGUUUCCAAAGGGGAAUGCUUCCACCAAGAGACACAACAGGAGUCCCAUUGAACUUCAAGCUACAGUUGCUGCCUGAGCAUUCAGACUCCUAUGUCGAGAGAUCAGCAGACAUGAAGAGAAGUCACCAUCUUGGCGGGGGUAGUAGACCCCAAUAAUCAGCAGGAAGUUGGGAUUCUGUUACACAGUGAGAGCAGAAAGGACCAGGUUUGGCACCCAAGCAAUCCACUUGGGUAUCCCGUGGUGCUUCCUUACGUGAUUUUGUAAAUGGAUAAGUACAUCAACCACAGCUUAAAAAGAGUAUUGGUACCAGGGCCCAAGAUCCCUCAGGUAUAAGGGUCUGGGUCACCUCACCGGGUAAACCACCUAGACUAGCAGAGGCACUAACUGAGGAUGAGAGGAAUCUAUGUUUGGAUAGUAGAAGCCAGAGACAAUGAGUAUAGUUGGGGCCUCAAGAUCAGCUGCAGUGGUGGAGGCUGUAUUUGGUCCCACUCUUCUCUCCUUACAAGCUUCCCUCAGGAAAAGAGGCCCACCAGAACCUGGAAGGCCUGUGUCCGCUUACACAACUAAGUGAUUCCAAAGGGCACAAAAAGUGGACUGUAGAGGACACAGUGAUUCACUUCCCAUAUGGGAAGUGAAGGACUCAUUCCCCCAAGCCACUGGGACUUUUCUCUAAGAAGCUUCCUCAGCUGAAGAGAGCGAUUUUGCCCGAGGUCACUUCUCAGGAUAGCUUGCAUCCAAAGACUGGUUGAUAUUGUGGUAUAAAGGCCUGGCCACCUCACUCCAACUCAGGACACCUCCGAAGUGCUAACCUAGCUUCAGAGCUCCUCAUGGAAUUGGUUGAAGCAUUUGUUGAAACUGCAUCAGAGCCCAACUUCUCCCUCUCCCCAAUCCUGCUACCUUUGCUUUCCCACAUGUGUUGAUCCUGAGGGCACUCUCAUAAACGUCCUGCGCGCCAACCUCCAUCUCACAGCCCACUUCCUGGGAACCCCACCCUGAAACAAUGCCCAUGUGUACAUACAAAAUUUCUGGAAGAAUACACAAGAAGUUGUUAAAUGUAAUUAUCGCAGAGUAGUAGGACUGGUGGUUGGGGAUUAUGGGAAGAAGACCGUUUCUUUUUUAAUAAAAAAAUAUUAAGUAUGAUUAUUAGUGAAAGCUAACAAAGAGUCAAAGAAAAAAAAGAGGGAGAUUUUACUUCACUUUCUUUUCUUCCUAGAUUGCUCUGCUGCCACAUGGUAAGCAAUCUAAAAUUUAUUGAAGUAAAUUAUUUUUAUCCCUUGGGAAAAAGCACACUAUAGUGCCACUGCUAAAACAUCACAGUGUGCCCCAAAAGAAAAAUGGACAAAUAUGAACAGACAAUUCACAAAAAAG